Molecule: long non-coding RNA, 1357 nt
Organism: Syzygium oleosum
Lineage: Eukaryota; Viridiplantae; Streptophyta; Magnoliopsida; Myrtales; Myrtaceae
Exons: 2
Source: RefSeq, a predicted model, not a curated record
UACUGCAUGAUAACCAUUCUGGUUCUGUCCAGAACUGGUUUUUUGCUCCCGAAAUCAGUUUUGGACCAGAAACCCGUUUGUUAACGCAAUUUAAUUUUUCUAUUUCCGGGACAAGUUUUUGUCCCGGAACUCAUUUUGGACCAAAAAUGAGAAACAGAAAAAACUAGGUUUUUCGUUUCUGGACCAAAAGUGAGAACUCAUUCCCGAAGAAAUCGAUUUUCUUCAACACAUCUCUCUCUCGUCUCCUUCGAGCUCUCUCUUCUGCCCGACUCUCUCUCUACUCUCUUCUGUUGCCGUCGACAGAGGAAGCCAAGCCACUCGUUCGCUUGCUCCGACCGAGAGGAAGCCAGGGCCGCUCGCUCCUGCUCCACUCGGGUUCGAUUUCCACUUCUUCGAAGUGUUCGUGUCAAAAUUCUUCGAGGUUCAACUCAGGUAUGCAAUUUCUUCUUUGAAAUCUUCGACUGGGAGUUCUUCAACUGUUCUAAAAUUUGCGAAUCUUGUUGAUUUAACUCUGAUGAUUUGUGUUUUUUAAAAAUUGAUGUGCAUCUCCGAAGUCUUCCACUGCUUGGGAGUUGUCCGAAUAUUAUGAAUUCUGUGAAUGGAGGAAGAUUUCUAUAGAAUGAUUUCGGUGCAAUUUUUUGAAACCUCGUUCAACAUUAACGUAGGUUUCCCCAACUGGAUGGGGAACAAGAAUUGCUAACAGACUUCAUAAGCAUCAUUCCCCUUUUGGAAUGAUAGCUAGCAAAAAAUGCAAUAAUAUUGUAGUAAAUUUAACUUCAGUUUUCCAUCCCUGUGACUUUGCCUUUUGCGCAUGACCAUUCGUGGGAGUUUGGCGUUCGUUGCUUUCCCUCGGUCAGUUUGGGAAAAAUUUGGUUGUUUUUAGUGUUUGAUUCGGGGGCUGAUGCUGUCGUGAUUGCUUUGUAUGCGUCCCCUAUUUUGUCAAUUGAUUGAAUUGCUGUCCUGGGAUUUGAGAGUGUAACAUGAUCUGUUGGGCGUUCGCAUCAAAAUUACAUAAGUUGGAUAGGACUCCAAAUUCCAGUGAUUAUUCUUAUUGGAUGAUCAACUCUGCCGGUCUUGUCAGUGACUCGGUUGUUGGUGAUUUUUCUUAAAUAGUUGAUGGGUGGUUUGAGCUAACCCUGGAAAGUUUGGAUCGUUUGGCAAAUUCUUGGCCUGGUCAAUCGGCAUUUGUUGGUUGUUUGCGUUUUGGCAGGAUUUGUCUGAUUAGAAGCUGUCUGGCAUAAUGUUAGAUCGGAUGAUCCUUUUUUUUCUGAAUUUAUUGGAUGAUAUCUUCCCUUUCUCUUAGCUGGGGGGGAUCUCUUUUCCUUCGGCAUCAUUGCUUAAAUGCAUCUUUUUGCAA